This 460-nucleotide long non-coding RNA is filed under the name Phasianus colchicus (ring-necked pheasant). RNAcentral's name for it is "lncRNA (ENSPCLG00000014292.1)". The record is from RNAcentral. Lineage: Eukaryota; Metazoa; Chordata; Aves; Galliformes; Phasianidae.
AUUCACUCCAGAAGUGUUUCUCGGAGGUCUUUUUUUCCAGGAGAAGGCAAGAUGGCCCUGGGAGGCUCUGCUAUCAGCCUGUCCUUUUCCUUGGAACACGGAUCUGAGGCUCCUCGGUGCUGAGCGUGCCUGUGUCCCAUCUGCUCCCACGCCCUGAAAUCAAACUCAGCAGCUCAGGUGAAGCAGGCACUGUGCAAACAUGUCAGGACUGCCUCCACCCCUUUUCCUUCUCCCGCUCUCUCCCGCCGUCUUUCUCUCCCAAGUUUAUCGGCGUCUCAGCGGAUUGCGGUGGCAGAGAGCUUCCACCUCACCUCUGGGUCCGGAGCAAUGAGGAACCACAGGGCAUUAAUGUCUUAAUGUAUUUGGGGAGAGAGUACUGAAGAAAAAGCAAACAACAGAAGAGAAGUUUGUGGCUGGUGAGUGAGAGCUCCGCGGGGCUUUGGGAUGUUUGCUGGGUUUU